AGAGUUUGAUCCUGGCUCAGAACGAACGCUGGCGGCGCGCCUAAUACAUGCAAGUCGAGCGAGAAGACGUAGCAAUACGUUUGUAAAGCGGCGAACGGGUGAGGAAUACAUGGGUAACCUACCCUCGAGUGGGGAAUAACUAGCCGAAAGGUUAGCUAAUACCGCAUACGCUUCCCGGACUGCGGUUCGGGAAAGAAAGCGAUACCGUGGGUAUCGCGCUCUUGGAUGGGCUCAUGUCCUAUCAGCUUGUUGGUGAGGUAAUGGCUCACCAAGGCUUCGACGGGUAGCUGGUCUGAGAGGACGAUCAGCCACACUGGCACUGCGACACGGGCCAGACUCCUACGGGAGGCAGCAGUAAGGAAUAUUGCGCAAUGGACGAAAGUCUGACGCAGCGACGCCGCGUGGGGGAUGAAGGUCUUCGGAUUGUAAACCCCUUUCGGCAGGGAAGAUGGAACGGGCAACCGUUCGGACGGUACCUGCAGAAGCAGCCACGGCUAACUUCGUGCCAGCAGCCGCGGUAAUACGAAGGUGGCAAGCGUUGUUCGGAUUCACUGGGCGUACAGGGAGCGUAGGCGGUUAGGUAAGCCCUCCGUGAAAUCUCCGGGCCUAACCCGGAAAGUGCAGAGGGGACUGCUUGGCUAGAGGAUGGGAGAGGAGCGCGGAAUUCCCGGUGUAGCGGUGAAAUGCGUAGAGAUCGGGAGGAAGGCCGGUGGCGAAGGCGGCGCUCUGGAACAUUUCUGACGCUGAGGCUCGAAAGCGUGGGGAGCAAACAGGAUUAGAUACCCUGGUAGUCCACGCCUUAAACUAUGGAUACUAAGUGUCGGCGGGUUACCGCCGGUGCCGCAGCUAACGCAGUAAGUAUCCCGCCUGGGAAGUACGGCCGCAAGGUUGAACUCAAGG
Molecule: ribosomal RNA, 900 nt
Filed under: uncultured soil bacterium
Lineage: Bacteria
Description: bacterial SSU rRNA
Rfam family: Bacterial small subunit ribosomal RNA
Source: RNAcentral